GACGAACGCUGGCGGCGUGCUUAACACAUGCAAGUCGAACGGACAGGCCCUGCUUUUGUGGGGUGCUCGAUUGCCGAACGGGUGAGUAACACGCGAGUAACCUGCCCUUGACUUUGGGAUAACUUCCGGAAACUGGGGCUCAUACCGGAUAGGAGCUCCUGCUGCAUGGUGGGGGUUGGAAAGUUUGGGCGGUUGGGGAUGGACUCGCGGCUUAUCAGCUUGUUGGUGGGGUAGUGGCUUACCAAGGCUUUGACGGGUAGCCGGCCUGAGAGGGUGACCGGCCACAUUGGGACUGAGAGACGGCCCAGACUCGUACGGGAGGCAGCAGUGGGGAAUAUUGCACAAUGGGCGGAAGCCUGAUGCAGCAACGCCGCGUGCGGGAUGACGGCCUUCGGGUGGUAAACAGCUGUCGCCUGUGACGAAGCGUGAGUGACGGUAAUGGGUAAAGAAGCACCGGCUAACUACGUG
Molecule: ribosomal RNA, 468 nt
Filed under: uncultured bacterium
Lineage: Bacteria
Description: partial 16S ribosomal RNA
Rfam family: Bacterial small subunit ribosomal RNA
Source: RNAcentral